Molecule: ribosomal RNA, 478 nt
Filed under: uncultured bacterium
Lineage: Bacteria
Description: bacterial SSU rRNA
Rfam family: Bacterial small subunit ribosomal RNA
Source: RNAcentral
GGCGGCGUGCCUAACACAUGCAAGUCGAGCGAGAAACUCAUGACCAAUACUCGGUGCGUGAUUGAGCGGAAGCGGCGGACGGGUGAGUAACGCGUAGGCAACCUGCCCCUUGCAGACGGGAUAGCCUCGGGAAACCGGGAUUAAAACCUCAUAAUGCGUAACGGAGACAUCUCCGAUACGCCAAAGAUUUAUCGGCAAGGGAUGGGCCUGCGUCUGAUUAGUUAGUUGGUGGGGUAACGGCCUACCAAGGCAGCGAUCAGUAGCCGACCUGAGAGGGUGAUCGGCCACAUUGGAACUGAGACACGGUCCAAACUCCUACGGGAGGCAGCAGUGGGGAAUAUUGCACAAUGGGCGAAAGCCUGAAUGCAGCAACGCCGCGUGAAGGAUGAAGGCCCUUGGGUCGUAAACUUCUGUUCUAAGGGAAGAUAAUGGCGGUACCUUAGGAGCAAGUCCCGGCUAACUACGUGCCAGCCGCUGC